AGGAGUGUAGCUCAACUGGUAGAGCACCGGUCUCCAAAACCGGGGGUUGGGGGUUCGAUCCCCUCCACUCCUGCCA
RNAcentral lists this transfer RNA (76 nucleotides) under Bradyrhizobium sp. Its description in RNAcentral is "tRNA-Trp". It matches the Rfam family "tRNA". Rfam says of the family: Transfer RNA (tRNA) molecules are approximately 80 nucleotides in length. The record is from RNAcentral. Lineage: Bacteria; Pseudomonadati; Pseudomonadota; Alphaproteobacteria; Hyphomicrobiales; Nitrobacteraceae. RNAcentral also lists the same sequence under 11 other names.